CAGUAGCCGCGGUAAAACGUAGGGCGCAAGCGUUGUCCGGAAUUAUUGGGCGUAAAGAGCUCGUAGGCGGUCUGUCGCGUCUGGUGUGAAAUCCCGAGGCUCAACCUCGGGCUUGCAUCGGGUACGGGCAGACUAGAGUGCGGUAGGGGAGACUGGAAUUCCUGGUGUAGCGGUGGAAUGCGCAGAUAUCAGGAGGAACACCGAUGGCGAAGGCAGGUCUCUGGGCCGCAACUGACGCUGAGGAGCGAAAGCAUGGGGAGCGAACAGGAUUAGAGACCCCCGUAGUCCCUGUCUCUUAUAC
RNAcentral lists this ribosomal RNA (301 nucleotides) under uncultured bacterium. Its description in RNAcentral is "partial 16S ribosomal RNA". It matches the Rfam family "Bacterial small subunit ribosomal RNA", at positions 509 to 807 of the family's 1533-position model. The record is from RNAcentral.